RNA transcript from Piliocolobus tephrosceles (Ugandan red Colobus), 3483 nucleotides. It is a transcript of the gene named tRNA nucleotidyl transferase 1, with no coding region annotated. The record is from RefSeq and is a predicted model, not a curated record. The transcript has 9 exons. NCBI's taxonomy places the organism in Eukaryota, Metazoa, Chordata, Mammalia, Primates, Cercopithecidae.
UGCCGCGACUUCCCAUUCACCGCCAGCCCAUGUGCGUUGGCGACGUCACCGCGUUCACUGUCCCGGAAGUGCGCGUGGUGGCGACGGCGACCGCGGCAGUGGGGCCGACGAGUAGCUGGUGACUGCCUCUCCAGAUGCUGAGGUGCCUGUAUCAUUGGCACAGGCCAGUACUGAGCUGUAGGUGGAAUAGGCUGUGCCUUCUGAAGCAGUAUCUAUUUACAAUGAAGUUGCAGUCUCCCGAAUUCCAGUCACUUUUCACAGAAGGAUUGAAGAAUCUGACAGAAUUAUUUGUCAAAGAGAAUCACGAAUUAAGAAUAGCAGGAGGAGCAGUGAGGGAUUUGUUAAAUGGAGUAAAGCCUCAGGAUGUAGAUUUUGCCACUACUGCUACCCCUACUCAAAUGAAAGAGAUGUUUCAGUCGGCUGGGAUUCGGAUGAUAAACAACAAAGGAGAAAAGCACGGAACAAUUACUGCCAGGCUUCAUGAAGAAAAUUUUGAGAUUACUACACUACGGAUUGAUGUCACCACUGAUGGAAGACAUGCUGAGGUAGAAUUUACAACUGACUGGCAGAAAGAUGCAGAACGCAGAGAUCUCACUAUAAAUUCUAUGUUUUUAGGUUUUGAUGGCACUUUAUUUGACUACUUUAAUGGUUAUGAAGAUUUAAAAAAUAAGAAAGUUAGAUUUGUUGGACAUGCUAAACAGAGAAUACAAGAGGAUUAUCUUAGAAUUUUAAGAUACUUCAGGUUUUAUGGGAGAAUUGUAGACAAACCUGGUGACCACGAUGCUGAGACUUUGGAAGCAAUUGCAGAAAAUGCAAAAGGCUUGGCUGGAAUAUCAGGAGAGAGGAUUUGGGUGGAACUGAAAAAAAUUCUUGUUGGUAACCAUGUAAAUCAUUUGAUUCACCUUAUCUAUGAUCUUGAUGUGGCUCCUUAUAUAGGUUUACCUCCUAAUGCAAGUCUAGAAGAAUUUGACAAAGUCAGUAAAAAUGUUGAAGGUUUUUCACCAAAGCCAAUGACUCUUUUGGCCUCAUUAUUCAAAGUACAAGAUGAUGUCACAAAAUUGGAUUUGAGGUUGAAGAUCGCAAAAGAAGAGAAAAACCUUGGCUUAUUUAUAGUUAAAAAUAGGAAAGAUUUAAUUAAAGCAACAGAUAGUUCAGACCCAUUGAAACCCUAUCAAGACUUCAUUAUAGAUUCUAGGGAACCUGAUGCAACUACUCGUGUAUGUGAACUACUGAAGUACCAAGGAGAGCACCGUCUCCUAAAGGAAAUGCAGCAGUGGUCCAUUCCUCCAUUUCCUGUAAGUGGCCAUGACAUCAGAAAAGUGGGCAUUUCUUCAGGAAAAGAAAUUGGGGCUCUAUUACAACAGUUGCGAGAACAGUGGAAAAAAAGUGGUUACCAAAUGGAAAAAGAUGAACUUCUGAGUUACAUAAAGAAGACCUAAAACUGAUGGCUACUAAAAAGCAGAGCAUUUCUGGUAAGACUAAUUUUCUCCCCUCCCUCUUAAUGAGGUUUUAGAAACUACACCAUAAUAAAAGUUUAGGGGACCUCUGUAGAACAACAGGGGUCUUAUUUUGUGAAAUAUAUUUCAAGAGCUAAACUGAGAUCCACCUUUCUUGAUCUGAUUUAUAUCAUUGAAAUGUACAGUUCUUUUGGAAUAGUUUCCAUAGUUGGCUAUUAUCUUAACCUGUUCAGGCUUUUUUAAAAAAAUUGUUUUUGCAUAGGGUAGUACUAAGAUCUUAAAAACUAGUAACUGUCUUGAAGAAAAAAUGUUUAUUGUUUGCAAUUGAAAUAACUGGGUUACCUUGAACAAUGACUAUCUAUGAUGUGUCAGUUCUUAUCUGAAUUCCAAAAUAAACUUGGGCUUAAAAAGGAAAUAACUGACAAGUUUGCAUAAAACAUGAGUACUAAAUGUGUCCCCAGUUGCUGGCAUUCAUACGUACAGGAUUUGUUCUAGCAAGCUACGCUUUAGUAUGUGGUUGAUAUUUUCCUGUCACAAUGAUUUCUUUAUGCUGCAGAGCUUGGGACAGUCAUGGGAUUAACUUGAGGGUUACUCUUGAGCCUAUUAUUUUAAUACAACAUUGGUAUUGGAAGAUAAAUGUGUUUAUGUGGCAUCUGACAAUGUAUGUCAGGUGUCAUAUACAGUGGUAAUAUGCCUCUCUUUAAAGUAAAUGUUAUUUUAUUAAUUAAAAGGAUAUGGUUUACAUUAUUACAUAUAAGAUUUGACUCCUAAAUGCUUUCAUUAGGUAAAUAAAAUGUACAACACAAACUGUUUAUUUCAGCUGCUAUACUGACAUUUCAUAAUUUAUUUCCUUUCUGUGUAGCCAGUCAUAACAUCUUUGUGCUCUAUGAGCAAAUAGUGAUUUUGGACCUUGAUAAAACAAUUUUGUAGAGUAUAAUAUUUCUAAGAGGAAGUGUCACAGGGGCUAUGAUGCAAGAAAGCCUCAGAAAUGACUGCACCAGGGUAAAAAAAGAAAAAAAAAAAAAGCAACCACCACCAUAUCAUUACCCAGGAAACCAGCUGUGUUCCGUAGAAGGCCGGCCUAUCAGAUUCAAGUUGCAAGCCUUAUACACAGUAAGUGUCUCAUGCACAUAUCCAUGAGGAUUCACAUAAGCUGCCAUCGGCCCACAUAAGGAUAAACUAAAACAAAGAAUCAACAUGGAGGACAAGUCAAAAUGAGAAGUCUAAUUCUAUUAAAUGCUUAGAAUUUUCCUGAAGUUCACCAAGAAAUGAGGUAUGAGCUAUAUAGUUUUUAAUCUUUCAGUUUUACAUAAUACCAGGAUCUUAGUAUGAAAAUGGGGUGGGGGUGCAGCUGGCAGACAGGCCUAUUUUGUCUAAGUGUUUUCUGUGAUGACCCAAAGGAAAUCGUACUGGUUUUUAAAAUUCUCAAGACAGACAUUGUAAAGAAUAUAAAAUUCAAAUGCUUCUAAAGGAGUCUGAGAGUAUAAGUGCAAUGACAAGGUCCUGUGCGGUCAUUUUAGGGCAGUUGAUUAUUUUGCAGAAAGCAAUUUCCUUACCUUCUUGAUUUAUAACUCUGAUGAAUUUGUCAUAAAAUGAUUUUCAAACACUGUUAGAGCAUCAGUAUUCAGAAGCAUGUCCUACUUUGGCCCUAUAUGGCAAAACUGAUGACUGAAAUGUAAUUUCUGAGGCAUCUAUGUUAGGGCCUAAUUGAAGACAAUAUAUUAUGUAGAUUUCUAAGACAGUCUAAUAUAUAGAAUUAGGGGGAAAAGAAUUGCUCAGUUGUUUUACUUUACCAUGCUCAUUACCCGUGAAUAAUCCCUGACAUGCAUUGUUGGUUGAUCUGAGUACUCAAUCUGGAAGAUGGUCUUACCAAAAGUGAGCUAAUUCCCUAUAUUUCAUUUGCUAAGUGUUUGUAACUUUUAGAUAUUAGAGGAAAGUAUAUGGAAAACAGAAAUACAGUCUUGAUUAUAAUUCUGAUAAGGCAAGUAUAUUAAAAAUGUAAUAAAGACCUUACCUGAAUAUUUCA